Molecule: non-coding RNA, 26 nt
Filed under: Cricetulus griseus (Chinese hamster)
Lineage: Eukaryota; Metazoa; Chordata; Mammalia; Rodentia; Cricetidae
Source: RNAcentral
AGUUAUUACGGACCCAGUUGAUGAAC